CCUACGGGAGGCAGCAGUGAGGAAUAUUGGUCAAUGGGCGGAAGCCUGAACCAGCCAAGUAGCGUGCGGGAUGAAGGCCCUACGGGUCGUAAACCGCUUUUGCACGGGGAUAACACCAUCCACUUGUGGAGGUCUGCAGGUACCGUGCGAAUAAGGGCCGGCUAAUUCCGUGCCAGCAGCCGCGGUAAUACGGAAGGCCCGAGCGUUAUCCGGUUUCAUUGGGCUUAAAGGGAGCGUAGGCGGGCGUUCACGUCAGUUGUAAAAUCUGCCGGCUCAACCGCGCACAGCAGUUGAAACUGGCAGCCUUGAGUACACAAGAGGCAGGCGGAAUUCGUGGUGUAGCGGUGAAAUGCAUAGAUAUCACGAAGAACUCCGAUUGCGAAGGCAGCCU
This 391-nucleotide ribosomal RNA is filed under the name uncultured bacterium. RNAcentral's name for it is "partial 16S ribosomal RNA". It matches the Rfam family "Bacterial small subunit ribosomal RNA", at positions 338 to 727 of the family's 1533-position model. The record is from RNAcentral.